Molecule: ribosomal RNA, 425 nt
Filed under: uncultured bacterium
Lineage: Bacteria
Description: partial 16S ribosomal RNA
Rfam family: Bacterial small subunit ribosomal RNA
Source: RNAcentral
GUGGGGAAUAUUGGGCAAUGGGCGAAAGCCUGACCCAGCAACGCCGCGUGAAGGAAGAAGGUUUUCGGAUCGUAAACUUCUAUCCUUGGUGAAGAUAAUGACGGUAGCCAAGAAGGAAGCCCCGGCUAAAUACGUGCCAGCAGCCGCGGUAAUACGUAGGGGGCAAGCGUUGUCCGGAAUGAUUGGGCGUAAAGGGCGCGUAGGCGGCCCGGUAAGUCUGAAGGGAAAGUCCUGCUUUUAAGGUGGGAAUUGCUUUGGAUACUGUCGGGCUUGAGUGCAGGAGAGGUAAGCGGAAUUCCCGGUGUAGCGGUGAAAUGCGUAGAGAUCUGGAGGAACACCAGGGGCGAAGGCGGCUUACUGGACUGUAGCUGACGCUGAGGCGCGAAAGUGUGGGGAGCAAACAGGAUUAGAAACCCCAGUAGUUC